Molecule: long non-coding RNA, 552 nt
Filed under: Mytilus galloprovincialis (Mediterranean mussel)
Lineage: Eukaryota; Metazoa; Mollusca; Bivalvia; Mytilida; Mytilidae
Source: RNAcentral
AUUUCAUUGAAUUUUGAGUGCAUAUGCCUUAUGGUAAUGAUGGUGUGUGGUCUCCAUCUAAAAUAUUUCAGUAACUUUGGUUAUGGCACUCAAAAGUUUCUACCUAUCUGUUGUAUUAGUUGAUAAAUAUGCAUGCAAUAUUUGCAGAUGGACAAACAAUCAAUGAAUCAAUCAAUCUAUAUUGGGUUAAACCUUCAUGCUUAAUCUGUAGUUGCUGUUUAGAAUCAUUGUAAGUUGUUCUGUAACUAUACUGAUGCUAUAACCAUGAUAACAGUCUGAUUUAUUAUUUCAUUAUUCUCAACAUGUGGCUUGUUUAAUUUCAUUUGUUGAUUGACGGAAAUUCAAUUAUGACUUCAAAUUUUCUUGCUUUGCCUCAGAAUUUAUCAUUGUGAUAUCAUGAAAAAAAACUACCAUGCCUGAUGAGGUCAAUUAGAAAGAACAUGUAUGUCUUUUUGCAGAUCAUUGACAAUUUAAGAUAAUGUGAGCAUACAUAAAUAUAUUUAAUGCCGUGGUAUAGUGGUUAGUGCAUCGGACUAAUAACACAAAGGUUCC